CCUACGGGAGGCUGCAGUGGGGGAUAUUGCACAAUGGGGGAAACCCUGAUGCAGCGACGCCGCGUGUGGGAAGACGGUCCUCUGGAUUGUAAACCACUGUCACCAGGGACGAAGAUGACGGUACCUGGGGAGGAAGCUCCGGCUAACUACGUGACAGCAGCCGCGGUAAUACGUAGGGAGCGAGCGUUGUCGGGAAUUACUGGGUGUAAAGGGAGCGUAGGCGGGGAUGCAAGGUGGGUGUAAAAACUACCGGCUCAACUGGGAGUCGCACUCAAAACUGCAGCUGUUGAGUGAAGUAGAGGCAGGCGGAAUUCCUAGUGUAGCGGUGAAAUGCGUAGAUAUUAGGAGGAACACCAGUGGCGAAGGCGGCCUGCUGGGCUUUUACUGACGCUGAGGCUCGAAAGUGUGGGGAGCAAACAGGAUUAGAUACCCCAGUAGUC
RNAcentral lists this ribosomal RNA (440 nucleotides) under uncultured bacterium. RNAcentral describes it as "partial 16S ribosomal RNA". It matches the Rfam family "Bacterial small subunit ribosomal RNA", at positions 338 to 795 of the family's 1533-position model. The record is from RNAcentral.